AUCGAACCUGCAACCUCAUGGUUCCUAGUUGGAUUCGCUUCCACUGCGCCACGACGGGAACCGCUCAAGCAGUUUGUUUUUUGAAGAAGGAAAUGGCAUUCUAGUGAUGAAGCUCACAUAAUGGCCAAGUGAAUUACUGACAUCAGUGGGAAUGGAGAAGAAGGAAUUAAAAGGACAGGAUUUGGCAACAGGUGGCGGUGAGGAAGUCUUCACAGACCAGAAGAGUGGUGAAAACUCUUUUGCUACCAGACUGCCUGCAGACUUAGUUCUUCGCUUUCUUGUGAACUUUCUUCUGCAUCUGUCCUUUGGCCCACAGUGGAAGACAGGAGAAAGAAGUGGACGUAAGACUCAGGCAAACCAAUUUUGUGAGUUGCUAUGAACGGAGUAUUUGUGUCCCUCCAAGAUGUGUACGUUGAAAUCCUCGCUACCCAGGUGAGGGUUUUAGGAGACGAGCCGCUGGGAGGUGAUCGGGUGGGGAGAGUAGAGCCCUCAUGAACGGGAUGAGUGUCCUUACAGAAGGAGCCCCCAGAAAGGCCCUUCCUCCCUUCCUGCGGUCCCUCCUUCCAGGUUACAGUGAAAAGAUGGGCUCUCUCUGGACAACAAACUGGCCGAAUUUGCGAGCAACUGGGACUUGGACCUCCCAGCUUCCAAACUGAGAAAUGAGUUUCCAGGGUUAGCAUGCCACCCAGUCUCUGGCAGUUGGCUACAUCGGCCUGGAGAGACGAGGCGUUGAGAAGAGCUCUGGGGCAGACAUGAUGGAGGCGGUGAACGCCACUGUCACUGCUAAGUUUCCUGGGCUCCCGGAGUCCUGCAUUCCCGGUCCCUCCAGCCUACACACAGGGAGUCCCACAUGGGGACAGUGGAGUCCAGUAAGGGCCACGGCUUCAACAGACUUUCUAUGACACGGGUCAGCCAAGCUUGACUUCAAGAGCAGGAGUUUCUGACAUAGUCUGAUUGCCCGUUGAAAUUCAGAAGAAAGUUUAAGCAUUGUGAAAGCGAUGGCAUAUGACCUGAUUCCACAAAAUAAAUACUAACACCUGAC
This 1042-nucleotide long non-coding RNA is filed under the name Sus scrofa (pig). RNAcentral describes it as "lncRNA (ENSSSCG00070006044.1)". The record is from RNAcentral. Lineage: Eukaryota; Metazoa; Chordata; Mammalia; Artiodactyla; Suidae.